UGGGGAAUAUUGCACAAUGGGCGAAAGCCUGAUGCAGCGACGCCGCGUGCGGGAUGAAGGCCUUCGGGUUGUAAACCGCUUUUAAUUGGGAGCAAGCGAGAGUGAGUGUACCUUUUGAAUAAGCACCGGCUAACUACGUGCCAGCAGCCGCGGUAAUACGUAGGGUGCAAGCGUUAUCCGGAAUUAUUGGGCGUAAAGAGCUCGUAGGCGGUUUGUCACGCCUGGUGUGAAAGUCCAUCGCUUAACGGUGGAUCUGCGCCGGGUACGGGCAGGCUAGAGUGCAGUAGGGGAGAUUGGAAUUCCCGGUGUAACGGUGGAAUGUGUAGAUAUCGGGAAGAACACCAAUGGCGAAGGCAGAUCUCUGGGCUGUUACUGACGCUGAGGAGCGAAAGCAUGGGGAGCGAACAGGAUUAGAUACCCUGGUAGUCCAUGCCGUAAAACGGUGGAUGCUGGAUGUGGGACCCUUCCACGGGUUCCGUGUCGGAGCUAACGCGUUAAGCAUCCCGCCUGGGGAGUACGGCCGCAAGGCUAAAACUCUAAAGUGAAUUGAC
Molecule: ribosomal RNA, 551 nt
Filed under: uncultured bacterium
Lineage: Bacteria
Description: partial 16S ribosomal RNA
Rfam family: Bacterial small subunit ribosomal RNA
Source: RNAcentral